Molecule: ribosomal RNA, 626 nt
Filed under: uncultured bacterium
Lineage: Bacteria
Description: bacterial SSU rRNA
Rfam family: Bacterial small subunit ribosomal RNA
Source: RNAcentral
UUGGUGGGGUAAUGGCCCACCAAGGCGACGACGGGUAGCCGGCCUGAGAGGGCGACCGGCCACACUGGGACUGAGACACGGCCCAGACUCCUACGGGAGGCAGCAGUGGGGAAUAUUGCGCAAUGGGCGGAAGCCUGACGCAGCGACGCCGCGUGAGGGAUGAAGGCCUUCGGGUCGUAAACCUCUUUCAGCAGGGAAGAAGCGAAAGUGACGGUACCUGCAGAAGAAGCACCGGCUAACUACGUGCCAGCAGCCGCGGUAAUACGUAGGGUGCAAGCGUUGUCCGGAAUUAUUGGGCGUAAAGAGCUCGUAGGCGGUCUGUCGCGUCUGCUGUGAAAACUCAGGGCUUAACCCUGAGCUUGCAGUGGGUACGGGCAGACUAGAGUGCGGUAGGGGAGACUGGAAUUCCUGGUGUAGCGGUGAAAUGCGCAGAUAUCAGGAGGAACACCGGUGGCGAAGGCGGGUCUCUGGGCCGUAACUGACGCUGAGGAGCGAAAGCAUGGGGAGCGAACAGGAUUAGAUACCCUGGUAGUCCAUGCCGUAAACGUUGGGCGCUAGGUGUGGGGACCUUUCCAUGGUUUCCGUGCCGCAGCUAACGCAUUAAGCGCCCCGCCUGGGGAGUACGG